Molecule: long non-coding RNA, 650 nt
Organism: Misgurnus anguillicaudatus (oriental weatherfish)
Lineage: Eukaryota; Metazoa; Chordata; Actinopteri; Cypriniformes; Cobitidae
Source: RefSeq, a predicted model, not a curated record
CGGUGGACGGAGGAGCCAUAUUAAUCAUGGUGAAGUCUGCGAGCGCGCCAUCAUAAAUCGCGCGACCCAGUGCUUAACGGACGGAGUCCCUGGACGCCCUCUCGUCAUUUAUCAACGCGCUCUAACUCCGGAUGCGGGCACGGAGCAGGUUCUGAGGAAGCCUUGGACCUUGUUGUUUGCCUCUUUCUGCACCAGUUGCUGUGCAAACAGUCAGCCCUCAUCUCUACUCACUCAUCCCCAGCCUUAGCUUUGAUCUGUUGGCCCUUGAGGACCCCUAAGAGCCCCUGAGGUCCCAAGCCAGAGAGGAGGUGUUUUACUGAUGAAGAUGGAUGACUUUGGUUGUCACCAAUGAUUCAUGGCUGACUCACAGAUGGGCUCCACUGUGAAUAAUAGCCCAAUGUAAUCUACAUAUGACAAUAUAUUCCAGUGGCCCCAUCUAUUAGAUAAAGGUAUGGUAGAGCCCUGCAGGGACAAUAUAAUGUUGUGGUUAGCAAAUUCCUCUGGUCACAUUACUUCUCUUACCACAAAUAGUGUUUAGGAUUUUGAAACACUAAUCAUGCUUAUCUUGUUUUGUGGCACUGUAGGUUUGUCUAUUUACUCUUACUAUUUUUUUAAUCAAACAAAUUUCUCUCUUAUAAAAUGCUGUUUUG